This 563-nucleotide ribosomal RNA is filed under the name Debaryomyces hansenii. RNAcentral describes it as "partial large subunit ribosomal RNA". It matches the Rfam family "Eukaryotic large subunit ribosomal RNA", at positions 89 to 668 of the family's 3401-position model. The record is from RNAcentral. Lineage: Eukaryota; Fungi; Ascomycota; Pichiomycetes; Serinales; Debaryomycetaceae.
GCGAGUGAGCGGCAAAAGCUCAAAUUUGAAAUCUGGCACCUUCGGUGUCCGAGUUGUAAUUUGAAGAAGGUAACUUUGGAGUUGGCUCUUGUCUAUGUUCCUUGGAACAGGACGUCACAGAGGGUGAGAAUCCCGUGCGAUGAGAUGCCCAAUUCUAUGUAAAGUGCUUUCGAAGAGUCGAGUUGUUUGGGAAUGCAGCUCUAAGUGGGUGGUAAAUUCCAUCUAAAGCUAAAUAUUGGCGAGAGACCGAUAGCGAACAAGUACAGUGAUGGAAAGAUGAAAAGAACUUUGAAAAGAGAGUGAAAAAGUACGUGAAAUUGUUGAAAGGGAAGGGCUUGAGAUCAGACUUGGUAUUUUGCGAUCCUUUCCUUCUUGGUUGGGUUCCUCGCAGCUUACUGGGCCAGCAUCGGUUUGGAUGGUAGGAUAAUGACUAAGGAAUGUGGCUCUACUUCGGUGGAGUGUUAUAGCCUUGGUUGAUACUGCCUGUCUAGACCGAGGACUGCGUCUUUUGACUAGGAUGUUGGCAUAAUGAUCUUAAGCCACCCGUCUUGAAACACGGACCA